RNAcentral lists this ribosomal RNA (253 nucleotides) under uncultured bacterium. Its description in RNAcentral is "partial 16S ribosomal RNA". It matches the Rfam family "Bacterial small subunit ribosomal RNA", at positions 524 to 776 of the family's 1533-position model. The record is from RNAcentral.
UACAGAGGUCUCAAGCGUUGUUCGGAUUCAUUGGGCGUAAAGGGUGUGUAGGUGGCGCGCUAAGUCGGGUGUGAAAUUUCGGAGCUUAACUCCGAAACUGCAUUCGAUACUGGCGUGCUUGAGGACUGGAGAGGAGACUGGAAUUCAUGGUGUAGCAGUGAAAUGCGUAGAGAUCAGGAGGAACACCGGUGGCGAAGGCGGGUCUCUGGGCAGUAACUGACGCUGAGGAGCGAAAGCGUGGGGAGCGAACAGG